Molecule: transfer RNA, 62 nt
Filed under: Prostomis sp. PRO01
Lineage: Eukaryota; Metazoa; Arthropoda; Insecta; Coleoptera; Prostomidae
Description: tRNA-His
Source: RNAcentral
AUUUAAGUAGUUUAGCAAAAAUAAUGAUUUGUGGAGUCAUAGAUGUAUUAAUACCUUAGAUA